GUGAGGAAUAUUCGGCAAUGGGGGCAACCCUGACCGAGCAACGCCGCGUGGAGGAUGACGGUUUUCGGAUUGUAAACUCCUUUUCUCAGGGAAGAGCGAGGACGGUACCUGGGGAAUAAGUCACGGCUAACUACGUGCCAGCAGCCGCGGUAAUACGUAGGUGGCAAGCGUUAUCCGGAAUUACUGGGCGUAAAGCGCACGCAGGUGGCUGCUUAAGUCUGACGUGAAAGCUCCUGGCUUAACUGGGAGAGGUCGUUGGAGACUGGGCGGCUUGAGGCGAGGAGAGGGGUGUAGAAUUCCCGGUGUAGUGGUGGAAUGCGUAGAGAUCGGGAGGAAUACCAGUGGCGAAAGCGGCACCCUGGCCUUGGCCUGACGCUCAGGUGCGAAAGCGUGGGGAGCGAACGGGAUUAGAAACCCUAGUAGUCC
This 426-nucleotide ribosomal RNA is filed under the name uncultured bacterium. Its description in RNAcentral is "bacterial SSU rRNA". It matches the Rfam family "Bacterial small subunit ribosomal RNA", at positions 354 to 796 of the family's 1533-position model. The record is from RNAcentral.